UGGGGAAUAUUGCACAAUGGGGGAAACCCUGAUGCAGCGACGCCGCGUGAGCGAAGAAGGCCUUCGGGUCGUAAAGCUCUUUUAUGAGGGAAGAUAAUGACGGUACCUCAAGAAAAAGCGCCGGCUAACUACGUGCCAGCAGCCGCGGUAAUACGUAGGGGGCUAGCGUUGUCCGGAAUCACUGGGCGUAAAGGGUUCGCAGGCGGAAUAACAAGUCAGAUGCGAAAGGCAUGGGCUCAACCCAUGUAAGCAUUUGAAACUGUAAUUCUUGAGAAGGGGAGAGGUAAGUGGGAUUCCUAGUGUAGCGGUGAAAUGCGUAGAUAUUAGGAGGAAUACCUGUGGCGAAGACGACUUACUGGACACAAAUCUGACGCUGAGGAACGAAAGCGUGGGUAGCAAACAGG
This 404-nucleotide ribosomal RNA is filed under the name Bacteroidota bacterium. Its description in RNAcentral is "Bacteroidetes bacterium partial 16S ribosomal RNA". It matches the Rfam family "Bacterial small subunit ribosomal RNA", at positions 355 to 776 of the family's 1533-position model. Lineage: Bacteria; Pseudomonadati; Bacteroidota. The record is from RNAcentral.